This 497-nucleotide ribosomal RNA is filed under the name uncultured bacterium. RNAcentral describes it as "partial 16S ribosomal RNA". It matches the Rfam family "Bacterial small subunit ribosomal RNA", at positions 28 to 507 of the family's 1533-position model. The record is from RNAcentral.
GAUGAACGCUGGCGGCGUGCCUAAUACAUGCAAGUCGAGCGAACAGACGAGGAGCUCGCUCCUCUGACGUUAGCGGCGGACGGGUGAGUAACACGUGGAUAACCUACCUAUAAGACUGGGAUAACUUCGGGAAACCGGAGCUAAUACCGGAUAAUAUAUUGAACCGCAUGGUUCAAUAGUGAAGGACGGUUUUGCUGUCACUUAUAGAUGGAUCCGCGCCGCAUUAGCUAGUUGGUAAGGUAACGGCUUACCAAGGCGACGAUGCGUAGCCGACCUGAGAGGGUGAUCGGCCACACUGGAACUGAGACACGGUCCAGACUCCUACGGGAGGCAGCAGUAGGGAAUCUUCCGCAAUGGGCGAAAGCCUGACGGAGCAACGCCGCGUGAGUGAUGAAGGUCUCCGGAUCGUAAAACUCUGUUAUUAGGGAAGAACAAAUGUGUAAGUAACUAUGCACGUCUUGACGGUACCUAAUCAGAAAGCCACGGCUAACUACGUG